UACGAAGGGGGCUAGCGUUGCUCGGAAUCACUGGGCGUAAAGCGCACGUAGGCGGCUUUUAAGUCAGGGGUGAAAUCCUGGAGCUCAACUCCAGAACUGCCUUUGAUACUGAGGAUCUUGAGUUCGGGAGAGGUGAGUGGAACUGCGAGUGUAGAGGUGAAAUUCGUAGAUAUUCGCAAGAACACCAGUGGCGAAGGCGGCUCACUGGCCCGAUACUGACGCUGAGGCACGAAAGCGUGGGAGCAACAGG
RNAcentral lists this ribosomal RNA (250 nucleotides) under uncultured bacterium. RNAcentral's name for it is "partial 16S ribosomal RNA". It matches the Rfam family "Bacterial small subunit ribosomal RNA", at positions 524 to 776 of the family's 1533-position model. The record is from RNAcentral.